Molecule: long non-coding RNA, 5936 nt
Organism: Oncorhynchus keta (chum salmon)
Lineage: Eukaryota; Metazoa; Chordata; Actinopteri; Salmoniformes; Salmonidae
Exons: 3
Source: RefSeq, a predicted model, not a curated record
AUCCAAGUUAAAUGGGUUUCUGUCUCAUUUUCAACCCUAUUGAUGGUUUUAAAUUCAAGUUAAAUGGGUUUCCGUCUCAUUUUCAACUCUAUUGAUGGUCUUCUCUGGAUGUUUAUUGGAAAGGAGCAUCAAGCUCACCACCCUGUGAAGUGAAUAAUUUAUUUCAUCUGCAGCCUAAUAAACUGCAGGCGUUCCUGACCAGUCGUAGUGGGAGGACCACACAACAUGUCAUCACAUAACUCAUGUUCUCAUGUCUCACGGUUGAAUCAGAUUCACACAGGACUCUAGUCAAAUGUAGUGCACUGUCCAGGGACUGCGGUGUCAUUUGUCCACGGGACUAUGGUCAUACAUGGUCAGCAGAGUUCCAUACAGUCUUUUAGGUCCGAGCCCCUAGUGGUGUGAGUCUAGGAGUAGAAACCCUGCUAUAAUAUCCAUUACAUUGCCUUGUAGUUUUUGGACACGAGAGGUUUUUCUAAUAGAUGAUGGUGUGAAAAACAGAUCUAGUCUAACUCAUCGGUCUAGAAAGCCAAACUAUUUGAGCUUGGUUUGCUUCCUGGAAUGUCUGUGCUUGCGUGUAAAACAUGAUGAUGGUGUUCCUCCCAUCAGUUAAUUGAAGAUGUUAGAAAAGGGAUUAUUUUCAGCUGUGGUUCCUCUCCUGGGAGAGAAAAUCACCCCCCCGAAGGGCCUCUAGUCUGGAGUGUCAUACAGAGGCUACAUCCUAAAAUGGCACCCUAUUCCCUACAUAGUGCACCACUAUCCUAUGCGUCCUGGUCUAAAGUAGUGCACUACAUAGGGGUGAGGGUUCCAUUUGGGAUGUAGACAGACACUAUACCGCUAGCUGCAGAUGCAGUUGAUUUGAUGCAGUGAAUUACAUCUUUUAAAAAGCUUCAUCAACAUCUGAAGGUAAGGGUGAACUAGGUUUAGGAGCUGUUAAAUCAACCCACACAUCUUCAUCAACAUCUGAAGGUAAGGAUGAACUAGGUUUAGGAGCUGUUAAAUCAACCCACACAUCUUCAUCAACAUCUGAAGGUAAGGAUGAACUAGGUUUAGGAGCUGUUAAAUCAACCCACACAUCUUCAUCAACAUCUGAAGGUAAGGGUGAACUAGGUUUAGGAGCUGUUAAAUCAACCCACACAUCUUCAUCAACAUCUGAAGGUAAGGGUGAACUAGGUUUAGGAGCUGUUAAAUCAACCCACACAUCUUCAUCAACAUCUGAAGGUAAGGGUGAACUAGGUUUAGGAGCUACAAGAUCCAACCCACACAUCUUCAUCAACAUCUGAAGGUAAGGGUGAACUAGGUUUAGGAGCUACAAGAUCCAACCCACAUAUCUUCAUCAACAUCUGAAGGUAAGGAUGAACUAGGUUUAGGAGCUGUUAAAUCAACCCACACAUCUUCAUCAACAUCUGAAGGUAAGGGUGAACUAGGUUUAGGAGCUACAAGAUCCAACCCACACAUCUUCAUCAACAUCUGAAGGUAAGGGUGAACUAGGUUUAGGAGCUGUUAAAUCAACCCACACAUCUUCAUCAACAUCUGAAGGUAAGGAUGAACUAGGUUUAGGAGCUGUUAAAUCAACCCACAUAUCUUCAUCAACAUCUGAAGGUAAGGGUGAACUAGGUUUAGGAGCUGUUAAAUCAACCCACACAUCUUCAUCAACAUCUGAAGGUAAGGGUGAACUAGGUUUAGGAGCUACAAGAUCCAACCCACAUAUCUUCAUCAACAUCUGAAGGUAAGGGUGAACUAGGUUUAGGAGCUACAAGAUCCAACCCACACAUCUUCAUCAACAUCUGAAGGUAAGGGUGAACUAGGUUUAGGAGCUGUUAAAUCAACCCACACAUCUUCAUCAACAUCUGAAGGUAAGGGUGAACUAGGUUUAGGAGCUACAAGAUCCAACCCACAUAUCAUUCCUGCUCCGCUCUGCAUUAUUUGGUGUUUUACGUUGUACACCGAGGAUAUAUUUUCAGAAUUCUACAUGUGGAGUCUCAAUUUGGUAUCUGUCCCAUUUUGUGAAUUCUUGGUUGGUGUGCGGACCCCAAACCUCACAACCAUAAAGGGCAAUGGUUUGAUUCAAGUAUAUUUUUUUUUAGUCCGAUCUUAAUUGGUAUGUUGAAUUUAAGUUCCUUUUGAUGGCAAAGAAGGCCCUUCUUGCCUUGUCUCUCAGAUCGUUCACAGCUUUGUGGAAGUUACCUGUGGCGCUGAUGUUUAGGCAGAGGUAUGUCUAGUUUUUUGUGUGCUCUAGGACAAACGGUGUCUAUAUGUAAUUUGUAUUUUUGGUCUUGGCAACUGGACCUUUUUUGGAACACCAUUAUUUUUGUCUUACUGAGAUUUUCUGUCGGGUCCCAGGUCUGACAGAAUCUGUGCAAAAGAUCUAGGUGCUGCUGUAGGCUCUCCUUGGUUGGGGACAGAAGCACCAGAUCAUCAGCAAACAGACAUUUGACUUCAGAUUCUAGUAGGGUGAGGCUGGGUGCUACAGACUGCUCUAGUGCCCUCGCCAAUUCGUUGAUGUAUAUGUUGAAGUGGGUGGGGCUUAAGCUGCAUCCCUGUCUUAGCCCAUGGCCCUGUGGAAAGAAAUGUGUGUGUGUUGCCAAUUUUAUCACACUUGUUGUUUUGUGUACAUGGAUUUUAUAAUGUCGUAUGUUUUUCCCCCAACACCACUUUCCAUCAGUUUGUAUAGCAGACCCUCAUGCCAAAUUGAGUGGAAGGCUUUUCUGAAAUCAACAAAGCAUGAGAAAACUGCCUUUGUUUAGGUUUGUUUGUCAAGUGGGGUGUGCAGGAUGAAUACGUGGUCUGUCGUACGGUAAUUUGGUAAAAAGCCAAUAUGACAUUUCCUCACUACAUUGUUUUCAACUGAGGAAAUGUACAAGUCUGCUGUUGAUGAUAAUGCAGACGAUUUUCCCAAGGUGGUUAUUGACGCAUAUCAAUUGGAAUUUGUGGUCUGUAUAUUUUAUCUUUUCAUUUAGGAUACUGUCAACACCACAGGCCUUUUUGGGUUGGAGGGUUUGUAUUUUGUCCUGUAGUUCAUUCAAUGUAAUUGGAGAAUCCAGUGGGUUCUGGUAGUCUUUUAAUAGUUGAUUCUAAGAUUUGUAUUUGAUCAUGUAUAUGUUUUUGCUGUUCUUUGUUAUAGAGCCAAAAGGAUUGGAGAAGUGGUUUAUCCACACAUCUCUGUUUUUGGAUAGAUGGCUCUUCGUGUUGUUUCUUUAGCAUUUUCCCAGAAGUGGUUAGAUUCUAUGCAUUCUUCAAUUACAUUGAGCUGAUUUCAGACGUGCUGUUCCUUCUUUUUCCGUAGUGUAUUCCUGUACUGUUUUAGUGAUUCACCAUAGUGAAGGCGUAGGCUCAGGUUUUCUGGGUCUGUUUUUGGUUGGACAGGUUUCUCAAUUUCUUUCUUUAGGUUUUUUUUUGCUUCAUCAAACCAUUUGUCAUUGUUGCUACUUUUCUUAGGUUGUCUUGGCAGUUUUGAUUUGAUAGGGAAGCUGAGAUAUACUGUUUGUUUUCUACUGCCAAGGUUACAUCUUCAGUAUUACAUUUUGUCCAGGCAGUUGUCUAACGGGUUGAAUUUGCCUAAUAGUUUUUUUGGUUCGGUUUCCACACUACUUUCCUUCCAUCUAUAGCAUUUCUUAAUAUUAUUCAGUUGCCUUGGCUUUGAUGCUUCAUGAUUUGAGUAUUGCUCUUUUUCGAAUAGACUGUGAUGUUGCUGCGAUCUGAUAGGGGUGUCAGUGGGCUGACUGUGAACUCUGAGAGAAUGUGGGUUGAGGUCAGUGAUAAAGUAGUCUACAGUACUACUGCCAAGAGAUGAGCUAUAGGUACCUACCAUAGGAGUCUGGGUUGAGGUCAGUGAUAAAGUAGUCUACAGUACUACUGCUAAGAGAUGAGCUAUAGGUACCUACCAUAGGAGUCUGGGUUGAGGUCAGUGAUAAAGUAGUCUACAGUACUACUGCUAAGAGAUGAGCUGUAGGUACCUACCAUAGGAGUCUGGGUUGAGGUCAGUGAUAAAGUAGUCUACAGUACUACUGCCAAGAGAUGAGCUGUAGGUACCUACCAUAGGAGUCUGGGUUGAGGUCAGUGAUAAAGUAGUCUACAGUAUUACUGCCAAGAGAUGAGCUGUAGGUGUACCUACCAUAGGAGUCUGGGUUGAGGUCAGUGAUAAAGUAGUCUACAGUAUUACUGCCAAGAGAUGAGCUGUAGGUGUACCUACCAUAGGAGUCUGGGUUGAGGUCAGUGAUAAAGUAGUCUACAGUACUACUGCCAAGAGAUGAGCUAUAGGUACCUACCAUAGGAGUCUGGGUUGAGGUCAGUGAUAAAGUAGUCUACAGUACUACUGCCAAGAGAUGAGCUGUAGGUGUUCCUACCGUAGGAGUCCCCUCGAAGCCUACCAUGGACUAUGUGUAUAUACCCAGCGUGUGACAGAGCUGCAGGAGUUGACCCGUUUUGUUGGUUAGAUUGUCGUAGUUGUGCCUAGGGGGUUAUAUGGAUGGGUAAGGGAAUGCUGUCACUUCCAGGUAGGUGUUUGUUGCCACAAAUUAGUACAUGUCCCUGGGCCUGGAAAUGAUUGAUUUUCCCCCUCCAGGAUGGAGAAGCUGUCUGCAUUAAAGUAUGGGUAUUCUAGUAGGGGGGUAUAGGUAGCACACAGCAGGACGUUUUUCUCUGUUUAGUUCAUUUCCUUUUGAAUUUCUAGCCAAAUAUAAAAUGUUCCUGUUUUGAUUAAUUUAAGAGCGUGAGUUAGGUCUGCUCUAUACCAAAUAAGCAAAGCCCCUGAGACCCUUCCCUGUUUCACACCUGGUAGUUUGGUGGAUGGGACUACCAGCUCUCUGUAACCAAUGAGUCCAUCUCUAUACCCUGUUUUUUGUAGGAUGACAAUGUCUGUAUUUCUUUAGUGAAGUCUGGGUUCCUGCUCUUUAGACCAAAGGCAGAUGACCUCAGGCCUUGGUUAUUCCAGGAUGAUAUAGUGAAGGCUUUGUGUUCCAUAAAGUGUCCAAUGUUGUUAAUCGUGUGGUUUGGCCUCAGACCAGUAAGUGUGAGCAGAACCUGCUGAGCAUCUGGUACAUGCCAUUGGCUUGUUGAGGCCCUCUUUGUGGGAGUGGGGGGCAUGGGGUGGGCAGGAGUGGCAUAGGUCUGAUCUGAGGGGGCCUAUAUGGGUUGUAGGAAUGGUUAUUAUGCAUUUCUCUCUUGAACUCUCGCUCGCUCGCUCUUUUCUGUCAUUUGUUUCCCCUCUUCUUUGAUCGUAAUGGAAACCAGGUUUGUGGUUUCUUGGUUUAGCGUCUACGUACUGGGCCCUUUUGUCUCUGAGCUGAAAUGUUUUCAUAUGUGUGUCUCCAGAGAGGGAGAGACCCUCUCUUUACGAUGAGAUGUCUCCAUCUCUCUCUCUUUACGAUGAGAUGUCUCCAUCUCUCUCUCUUUACGAUGAGAUGUCUCCAUCUCUCUCUCUUUACGAUGGGAUGUCUCCAUCUCUCUCUCUUUACGAUGGGAUGUCUCCAUCUCUCUCUCUUUACGAUGGGAUGUCUCCAUCUCUCUCUCUUUACGAUGAGAUGUCUCCAUCUCUCUCUCUUUACGAUGAGAUGUCUCCAUCUCUCUCUCUUUACGAUGAGAUGUCUCCAUCUCUCUCUCUUUACGAUGAGAUGUCUCCAUCUCUCUCUCUUUACGAUGAGAUGUCUCCAUCUCUCUCUCUUUACGAUGAGAUGUCUCCAUCUCUCUCUCUUUACGAUGAGAUGUCUCCAUCUCUCUCUCUUUACGAUGGGAUGUCUCCAUCUCUCUCUCUUUACGAUGAGAUGUCUCCAUCUCUCUCUCUUUACGAUGAGAUGUCUCCAUCUCUCUCUCUUUACGAUGAGAUGUCUCCAUCUCUCUCUCUCUUUACGAUGGGAUGUCUCCAUCUCUCUCUAUUUACGAUGGGAUGUCUCCAUCUCUCUCUCUUUACGAUGGGAUGUCUUCAUCUCUCUCUCUUUACG